Molecule: long non-coding RNA, 201 nt
Filed under: Homo sapiens (human)
Lineage: Eukaryota; Metazoa; Chordata; Mammalia; Primates; Hominidae
Description: HSALNT0016788
Source: RNAcentral
UUCCUUCUCUUCUGGUGAGAGUGUCUUGAGGUAGAAACGAAGAAAUCUGACUCCACCCUAGCACCUGACCAAACUCUUAGUCCCACUCCAAAGCAUGCUCUAAGCUGGACUUUACCUGGGGGCUGCAGGUAGAUUGCCCCUUCAGCUACUCUGUCUUCUCCUGGAACCUACAGUGGAGAUCCCAGUAUGCACCGAGAACCU